Molecule: ribosomal RNA, 398 nt
Filed under: uncultured bacterium
Lineage: Bacteria
Description: bacterial SSU rRNA
Rfam family: Bacterial small subunit ribosomal RNA
Source: RNAcentral
GGAAUAUUGGACAAUGGGGGCAACCCUGAUCCAGCCAUGCCGCGUGCGUGAAGAAGGCCUUAGGGUUGUAAAGCGCUUUCGGCGGGGAAGAUGAUGACGGUACCCGCAGAAGAAGCCCCGGCUAACUCCGUGCCAGCAGCCGCGGUAAUACGGAGGGGGCAAGCGUUGUUCGGAAUUACUGGGCGUAAAGCGCACGUAGGCGGCUCUGCAAGUCGGGUGUGAAAUCCCCGGGCUCAACCUGGGAACUGCAUUCGAUACUGCAUUGCUAGAGUAUGGGAGAGGGAAGUGGAAUUUCCGGUGUAGCGGUGAAAUGCGUAGAUAUCGGAAGGAACACCAGUGGCGAAAGCGACUUCCUGGACCAAUACUGACGCUCAGGUGCGAAAGCGUGGGGAGCAAAC